GAUGAACGCUAGCUACAGGCUUAACACAUGCAAGUCGAGGGGCAGCAUUUCAGUUUGCUUGCAAACUGGAGAUGGCGACCGGCGCACGGGUGAGUAACACGUAUCCAACCUGCCGAUAACUCGGGGAUAGCCUUUCGAAAGAAAGAUUAAUACCCGAUGGUAUAAUCAGACCGCAUGGUCUUGUUAUUAAAGAAUUUCGGUUAUCGAUGGGGAUGCGUUCCAUUAGGCAGUUGGUGAGGUAACGGCUCACCAAACCUUCGAUGGAUAGGGGUUCUGAGAGGAAGGUCCCCCACAUUGGAACUGAGACACGGUCCAAACUCCUACGGGAGGCAGCAGUGAGGAAUAUUGGUCAAUGGGCGCAGGCCUGAACCAGCCAAGUAGCGUGAAGGAUGACUGCCCUAUGGGUUGUAAACUUCUUUUAUAUGGGAAUAAAGUUUUCCACGUGUGGAAUUUUGUAUGUACCAUAUGAAUAAGGAUCGGCUAACUCCGUGCCAGCAGCCGCGGUAAUACGGAGGAUCCGAGCGUUAUCCGGAUUUAUUGGGUUUAAAGGGAGCGUAGGUGGACAGUUAAGUCAGUUGUGAAAGUUUGCGGCUCAACCGUAAAAUUGCAGUUGAUACUGGCUGUCUUGAGUACAGUAGAGGUGGGCGGAAUUCGUGGUGUAGCGGUGAAAUGCUUAGAUAUCACGAAGAACUCCGAUUGCGAAGGCAGCUCACUGGACUGCAACUGACACUGAUGCUCGAAAGUGUGGGUAUCAAACAGGAUUAGAUACCCUGGUAGUCCACACAGUAAACGAUGAAUACUCGCUGUUUGCGAUAUACAGUAAGCGGCCAAGCGAAAGCAUUAAGUAUUCCACCUGGGGAGUACGCCGGCAACGGUGAAACUCAAAGGAAUUGACGGGGGCCCGCACAAGCGGAGGAACAUGUGGUUUAAUUCGAUGAUACGCGAGGAACCUUACCCGGGCUUAAAUUGCAUUUGAAUAUAUUGGAAACAGUAUAGCCGUAAGGCAAAUGUGAAGGUGCUGCAUGGUUGUCGUCAGCUCGUGCCGUGAGGUGUCGGCUUAAGUGCCAUAACGAGCGCAACCCUUAUCUUUAGUUACUAACAGGUCAUGCUGAGGACUCUAGAGAGACUGCCAUCGUAAGAUGUGAGGAAGGUGGGGAUGACGUCAAAUCAGCACGGCCCUUACGUCCGGGGCUACACACGUGUUACAAUGGGGGGUACAGAAGGCAGCUACCUGGUGACAGGAUGCUAAUCCCAAAAGCCUCUCUCAGUUCGGAUCGAAGUCUGCAACCCGACUUCGUGAAGCUGGAUUCGCUAGUAAUCGCGCAUCAGCCAUGGCGCGGUGAAUACGUUCCCGGGCCU
This 1359-nucleotide ribosomal RNA is filed under the name uncultured bacterium. RNAcentral describes it as "bacterial SSU rRNA". It matches the Rfam family "Bacterial small subunit ribosomal RNA", at positions 28 to 1381 of the family's 1533-position model. The record is from RNAcentral.